RNAcentral lists this ribosomal RNA (256 nucleotides) under uncultured bacterium. Its description in RNAcentral is "partial 16S ribosomal RNA". It matches the Rfam family "Bacterial small subunit ribosomal RNA", at positions 524 to 776 of the family's 1533-position model. The record is from RNAcentral.
UACGUAGGGUGCAAGCGUUGUCCGGAAUUAUUGGGCGUAAAGAGCUCGUAGGCGGUUUGUCGCGUCUGCUGUGAAAACUCAGGGCUUAACCCUGAGCCUGCAGUGGGUACGGGCAGACUAGAGGUGUGGUAGGGGAGAUCGGAAUUCCUGGUGUAGCGGUGGAAUGCGGCAGAUAUCAGGAGGAACACCGGUGGCGAAGGCGGAUCUCUGGGCCAUAACUGACGCUGGAGGAGCGAAAGCAUGGGGAGCGAACAGG